GGGAAGGUAGCUCAGUGGUAGAGUGCUUGCCUUGCAUGCAUGAGGCCCUGGGUUUGAUUCCCCAGCACCA
This is a non-coding RNA of Dipodomys ordii (Ord's kangaroo rat), 70 nucleotides long. NCBI's taxonomy places the organism in Eukaryota, Metazoa, Chordata, Mammalia, Rodentia, Heteromyidae. The record is from Rfam.